This 4971-nucleotide long non-coding RNA is filed under the name Elaeis guineensis (African oil palm). RNAcentral describes it as "long non-coding RNA (EGUI_LNC043369)". The record is from RNAcentral. Lineage: Eukaryota; Viridiplantae; Streptophyta; Magnoliopsida; Arecales; Arecaceae.
AGUGCAUCUGAAUAGUCUAACAGCAUUUAGGAUCCCUGUACCUAGGUUGCUUUCAUCCACAUUAUAAGAAGAACUCUCAUGUUUUGAGAAGUCUAAAAAAGAAUUCCUAUGAAAAGAGAGAAAAGCACAAUAAGAGCUAAACAUUUAAAAUAGGCAACAGCAGGUUAUAAAAAAUGCACAACCAAGAUAUGAUUAUAUACCUUAUCAUACAUAGAUAAAUACAUAUAUGCAUAGAUGAAUAAACACGUAGAUAAAUAAAUAGAUAACAAAAUAAAUAGAUAAGCAAGUAAACAGAUAAAUAAAUACAAAAAUUCAUAAAUAAAUAAAUAAAUAAAUAAAUAAAUUGAUAAAAAUAAAUACAUAGAUAAAUAAACACAUAGAUAAAUAAAUACAGAGAUAGACAAAUAAAUAGAUAAAGAAAAAAUACAUAAAUAGAUAAAUAAAUAAAUGGAUAGAUAAACACAUGGAAAAAAAACAUAGUUAAAUAAACAGAUAGACAAGUAAAUACAUAGAUAAAUAAAUAAAUAGUUAGAUGAAUAAAUAAAUAGAGUUUAACAUUCAUUAUGAGGGUCAACAGUAGCUUCAUUAAGUGAGCACAUUAUACUACAAUUUUCUUAUGCAGUGCCAGUGCAUCUGAAUAGUCUAACACAUUUAGGAUCCCUGUACCUAGGUUGCUUUCAUCCACAUUAUAAGAAGAACUCUCAUGUUUUGAGAAGUCUAAAAAAGAAUUCCUAUGAAAAGAGAGAAAAGCACAAUAAGAGUUAAACAUUUAAAAUAGGCAACAGCAGGUUAUAAAAAAAUGCACAACCAAGAUAUGAUUAUAUACCUUAUCAUACAUAGAUAAAUACAUAUAUCCAUUGAUAAAUAAACACAUAGAUAAAUAAAUAGAUAACAAAAUAAAUAGAUAAGCAAGUAAACAGAUAAAUAAAUACAAAAAUUCAUAAAUAAAUAAAUAAAUAUAUUGAUAAAAAUAAACACAUAGAUAAAUAAAUACAGAGAUAGACAAAUAAAUAGAUAAAGAAAAAAAACAUAAAUAGAUAAAUAAAUAAAUGAAUAGAUAAACACAUGGAAAAAAAACAUAGUUAAACAAACAGAUAGACAAGUAAAUACAUAGAUAAAUAAAUAAAUAGUUAGAUGAAUAAAUAAAUAGAGUUUAACAUUCAUUAUGAGGGUCAACAGUAGCUUCAUUAAGUGAGCACAUUAUACUACAAUUUUCUUAUGCAGUGCCAGUGCAUCUGAAUAGUCUAACAGCAUUUAGGAUCCCUGUACCUAGGUUGCUUUCAUCCACACUAUAAGAAGAACUCUCAUUUAAAAUGGGCAACAGCAGGUUAUAAAAAAUGCACAACCAAGAUAUGAUUAUAUACCUUAUCAUACAUAGAUAAGUACAUAUAUGCAUAGAUAAAUAAAUAGAUAACAAAAUAAAUAGAUAAGCAAGUAAACAGAUAAAUAAAUACAAAAAUUCAUAAAUAAAUAAAUAAAUAAACUGAUAAAAAUAAAUACAUAGAUAAAUAAACACAUAGAUAAAUAAAUACAGAGAUAAACAGAUAAAUAGAUAAAGAAAAAAUACAUAAAUAGAUAAAUAAAUAAAUGGAUAAAUAAACAAAUAGAAAAAAAUACAGUUAAAAAAACACAUAGACAAGUAAAUACAAAGAUAAAUAAAUAUAUAAAUAGUUAGAUUAAUAAACAAAUAAAUAAAUAAAUACAUGGGGACAUAAAUGAAAAAAUAUAUGCAUAAGUAAAAAGAUUCAUAUUUAAAUAAAUGCACAAAUAGAUAAAAACAAAUAAAUAAACCAAUGAAUACAUAAAUAAAUAAAUACAUUAACAAAUAAAUGCAUGAAUACAUAGCAAAUAAAUAAAUAAAAACAUAAAGAAACGAAUAAAUAAAUGAAUAAAUGACAAAUAAAUAAAUACAUAAAUAAACAAGUACAUAUAUAAGUAAAUAAAUACAAACACAACUAGCUACAUCAAUAUAUAUAUAUAACUAAAUACAUACAUACAUAAAUAAAUAAACUAAUAAAUAAAUAAAUAAAUAAAUACAUAAGUAAUUAUAUAAAUAAACAAAUAAGUACAUCAACAUAUAAAUAAACACAUAAAUAAACAAGUAGAUAAAUGCAUAAAUAAAUAAAUAAAUAAUAAAUGAAUAAAUAGUUCGACAAACAUAAAUAAAUAAAUACAUAGAUAAAUAAAUAAAUAAAUACAUAAGCAAAUAAAUACAUAAAUACGUAAAUAAAUACAUACCUAAAUAAGUAAUAAAGAGUUCAAUAAAUAGACAAAUACAUGAAUAAAUAAAUAAAUAUAUAAGUAAUUAAAUAAGUACAUAAAUGCAAGAAUAAAUAAAUGCAUAAAUGAAUAAAAAAAUUGUUCAAUAAAACAUAUAAAUAAAUAAAUAUAUAAAAAAAUAAAUACACAAGUAAAUAAAUAAGUAGAUAAAUAAAUACAUAAAAAAUAGUUCAAUAAACACACAAAUAAAUAAAUACAUAGAUAAAUAAAUAUGUAAAUAACUAAAUACAUAAGAAAACACAUACAUAAAUAAAUAAAUAAACGCAUAAGCGAAUAAAUAUAUAAAUACGUAAAUAAAUACAUACCUAAAUAAAUAAUAAAUAGGUCAAUAAAUAGACAAAUACAUAAGUAAAUAAAUACAUAAAUGCAUAAACAAAUACAUAGCCAAAUAAAUAAGGACAUAAAUAAAUGAAUAGUAAAUAAAUAAAUACAUAAUUACACAGAUAAAUAAAUAAAUAAAAAUAAAUACAUAUAUAAAUGAAUAUGUAAGUAAAUAAAUACAUAAAUAAAUAAAUAAUACUUAUAAAUACACAAAUGCAUAAAUGAAUACAUAGCCAAAUAAAUAAAGACAUAAAUAAAUGAAUAGUUAAUAUAUAAAUAUGUAAAUAAAUAAUUACUUAAAUAAAUUAAUACAUAAGCAAGUAAAUAAAUCAAUAAAUAGCUAAAUACAUGAAUAAAUAAAUAGAUAAACAAAUAAAUAACUAAAUAAAUAAAGACAUAAAUACAUAAAUGAAUAAAUACAUGAGCAUUCAAAUACGUAAAUAAAUAAGUACACCAAUACAAAAAUCAAAAAGUACAUAAAUAAAAAGAUAAAAAGAUAAAAAAAUAAAUACAUAGACCCAUAAAUAAGUAAAUGCAUAAAUAAAUACAUAUACAAAUAAAUUAAUAAAAUAAAUAAAUUAAUACACAAACAAAGAAAUACAUAAAUAGAUUAAUACCCAAAUAAAUGAACAACUAAAUAAAUACAUAAUAAAUGCAUCAAUACAUAAAUAAAUAAAUAAAUAUAGAAAUAGAUAAAUAAAUCAUAGAAAAAUAAAUAUAAAACAAUAAAUGAAUAGAUAGAUAAAUAAAUUUAUUGGUAAAUAAAUGCAUAGAUACAUAAAUAAAUAAAUGCAUAUAAAAAAAAAAAAAUAUAUAUAUAUAUAUAUAUAUAUAUAAUAACAAACUACACAUUUUAAACAUCACAAACUACAGUAUCUGGAUAUCACAAACAUAAUAACAUGAGAUGAUUCAUUGGCGCCAUCAUUCAUAAUUUGUCAAUAGUGAGUAGUCGGAUACUUACCAGUAAAGGAUGGGUGUAAGUGAUGAAUGACAUCUCAAUCAAAAUAGUAAAGCAAAGUGCCACGAUCAAGCUACAAUUCCUUCACUAAAGUAUCAUGUUCAGCAUGAUUUCAAGGCACCUUCAACCCACCACAACUCUAGGAGGUAUAAAAUGGCAUACAGCUGAAUCAUCGUCCCAGGCUACUCUUAUGCAAGGAUCCAAGGAACAACCUACAAUUCUAUGCUUUGUAGUAACAAAACAUCUAUUGCAGUUUAUUAUCUACCCAGCUUCCUAAAUGAGUGAUCAGCAAAUAAGUCCACUAAAAAUAUGGAAUAUAUCAGGCUCAUAGCAGAGUGAGAGAGGAAGUGUCUCAAGAGUUAAAUUCCCAAACAAAAACUGCUCACCAAAAUAUGCAAUUUGUUUGAGCAUAUGACAUAUCCCAGUCAAAGGAUGAAAUAACAAAAUUAAAAUGGGGGUAAAAACUAAAGACAAGGCACAAAAUGUGUGGGGAGAAAAUGUCAAAUACUGUAUCCAUGAUUUCUGAUAAGAAGAUCUACCUUGUGGUCUUAUGGAAUGUGAUCACUGGUUCCAGUGGCUGUGUUCUCGAUCUGAUCAUUCAGCGCAACCUGAGUCUGACAAGUGUCUAAGAAAAUUUGUGGGGUAUGAUCUAUUUCAUCCUCCUUACCAAUUUCUUUGCUACAGUUGACUGAAGGAUCCUGUGAAGCAGUUUGGACACAAGGACAAAAAGACUCAUCACGUUGUGUUUUCUGUGAACGGUCAAGGUUCUCUUCAAGCUUUGAAGAAUCUCCUAAUUUCUCACUGGGCCCUUUGCAAGCCCCUGAUUCAUUAUUGGAAUCAAAAAUCAAUAGGCUAACAUCAGCAUCAUCAUAAAUUCAAUUCUCCCAUUCACACCCUACCACUCCAUCUCUGUAUUUCUCUGGUGGAUGAUUUUCCAGAAAAUCAGUUUUAGAAACAAAUAAACUUUUUCUUUUGUCAAGACCAUUUUGAACAAAGCAAACCAGUUCUAGUGGUGCAUAGCCAAUAUCCAAUUUAACAUCCAUUUUGAUGCCAAAGCAAGGUGCAACAUUAUGGUUGGAACUACCACGGUCAUACUGCUCAGGCUGAGGCAAAUUACUAGGUAGUGUUUAACAUUCAUCAGGAGGAUCAACAGUAGCUUCAUUAAGUGAGCAUAUUAUACUACAAUUUCCUUAUGCAGUACCAGUGCAUCUGAAUAGUCUAACAGCAUUUAGGAUCCCUAUACCUAGGUUGCUUUCAUCCACAUUAUAAGAAGAACUCUCAUGUUCUGAGAAGUCUAAAGAAGAAUUCCCAUGAAAAGAGAGACAAGCACAAUAAGAGCUAAACAUUUAAAAUAGGCAACAGCAGGUUAUAAAAAAUGCACAACCAAGAUAUGAUUAUAUACCUUAUCAUAC